UACGUAGGGUGCGAGCGUUGUCCGGAAUUAUUGGGCGCAAAGAGCUUGUAGGCGGUUUGUCGCGUCUGCUGUGAAAAUCCGGGGCUCAACCCCGGACUUGCAGUGGGUACGGGCAGACUGGAGUGUGGUAGGGGAGACUGGAAUUCCUGGUGUAGCGGUGGAAUGCGCAGAUAUCAGGAGGAACACCGAUGGCGAAGGCAGGUCUCUGGGCCACUACUGACGCUGAGAAGCGAAAGCAUGGGGAGCGAACAGG
This 253-nucleotide ribosomal RNA is filed under the name uncultured bacterium. RNAcentral's name for it is "partial 16S ribosomal RNA". It matches the Rfam family "Bacterial small subunit ribosomal RNA", at positions 524 to 776 of the family's 1533-position model. The record is from RNAcentral.